RNAcentral lists this ribosomal RNA (254 nucleotides) under uncultured bacterium. RNAcentral's name for it is "partial 16S ribosomal RNA". It matches the Rfam family "Bacterial small subunit ribosomal RNA", at positions 524 to 776 of the family's 1533-position model. The record is from RNAcentral.
GACGAACCGCCCGAACGUUAUUCGGAAUUACUGGGCGUAAAGGGCGCGUAGGCGGCCACCGCAAGUCAAUUGUGAAAUCUCCGGGCUUAACUCGGAAAGGUCAACUGAUACUGCGGGGCUAGAGUGCGGAAGGGGCAACUGGAAUUCUCGGUGUAGCGGUGAAAUGCGUAGAUAUCGAGAGGAACACCUGCGGCGAAGGCGGGUUGCUGGGCCGACACUGACGCUGAUGCGCGAAAGCCAGGGGAGCGAACGGG